RNAcentral lists this transfer RNA (72 nucleotides) under Verrucomicrobiia bacterium. RNAcentral describes it as "tRNA-Lys". It matches the Rfam family "tRNA". From Rfam's summary of the family: Transfer RNA (tRNA) molecules are approximately 80 nucleotides in length. Their secondary structure includes four short double-helical elements and three loops (D, anti-codon, and T loops). RNAcentral also lists the same sequence under 1 other name. The record is from RNAcentral. Lineage: Bacteria; Pseudomonadati; Verrucomicrobiota; Verrucomicrobiia.
GGGACGAUAGCUCAACGGUAGAGCAGGAGCCUUUUAAGCUCUAGGUUCAGGGUUCGAAUCCCUGUCGUCCCA